RNAcentral lists this ribosomal RNA (428 nucleotides) under bacterium. RNAcentral's name for it is "partial 16S ribosomal RNA". It matches the Rfam family "Bacterial small subunit ribosomal RNA", at positions 355 to 776 of the family's 1533-position model. The record is from RNAcentral.
UAGGGAAUCUUCGGCAAUGGGGGCAACCCUGACCGAGCAACGCCGCGUGAGUGAAGAAGGUUUUCGGAUCUUAAAGCCCUGUUGUAAGAGAAGAAUGUGUGUGAGAGUGGAAAGUUCACACAGUGACGGUAACUUACCAGAAAGGGACGGCUAACUACGUGCCAGCAGCCGCGGUAAUACGUAGGUCCCGAGCGUUGUCCGGAUUUAUUGGGCGUAAAGCGAGCGCAGGCGGUUUAAUAAGUCUGAAGUUAAAGGCAGUGGCUUAACCAUUGUUCGCUUUGGAAACUGUUAAACUUGAGUGCAGAAGGGGAGAGUGGAAUUCCAUGUGUAGCGGUGAAAUGCGUAGAUAUAUGGAGAACACCGGUGGCGAAAGCGGCUCUCUGGUCUGUAACUGACGCUGAGGCUCGAAAGCGUGGGGAGCAAACAGG